ACGGGAAUCUCCUGGAGAUCAUGUUAAAAUGCACAUUCUGACUCUGUAAGUCUGAGCUAUGGCCAGAGAUUCUGCAUUUCUAAUAAGCUUAUGGUCAUGUUGCU
RNAcentral lists this microRNA precursor (104 nucleotides) under Marmota monax (woodchuck). Lineage: Eukaryota; Metazoa; Chordata; Mammalia; Rodentia; Sciuridae. The record is from RNAcentral.